UGGCGUGUAGCUCAGGGGUGAGAGCGGCUGCCUUAUACGCAGCGUCGUCGACGGUUCGAGUCCGUCCACGCCGACGA
Molecule: transfer RNA, 77 nt
Filed under: Actinomycetes bacterium
Lineage: Bacteria; Bacillati; Actinomycetota; Actinomycetes
Description: Actinobacteria bacterium tRNA-Ile
Rfam family: tRNA
About the family: Transfer RNA (tRNA) molecules are approximately 80 nucleotides in length.
Source: RNAcentral